UUAAAUUGAAGAGUUUGAUCAUGGCUCAGAUUGAACGCUGGCGGCAGGCCUAACACAUGCAAGUCGAACGGUAACAGAAAUCAGCUU
RNAcentral lists this ribosomal RNA (87 nucleotides) under Escherichia coli. RNAcentral's name for it is "partial 16S ribosomal RNA". It matches the Rfam family "Bacterial small subunit ribosomal RNA", at positions 1 to 85 of the family's 1533-position model. The record is from RNAcentral. Lineage: Bacteria; Pseudomonadati; Pseudomonadota; Gammaproteobacteria; Enterobacterales; Enterobacteriaceae.